Molecule: ribosomal RNA, 253 nt
Filed under: uncultured bacterium
Lineage: Bacteria
Description: partial 16S ribosomal RNA
Rfam family: Bacterial small subunit ribosomal RNA
Source: RNAcentral
UACGUAGGGGGCUAGCGUUGUCCGGAUUUAUUGGGCGUAAAGAGCGUGUAGGCAGCCAGGUAAGUCGGAUGUGAAAUCCCUCGGCUUAACCGAGGACGUGCAUCCGAAACUGUGAGGCUCGAGUAUGGAAGAGGGUCGCAGAAUUCCCGGUGUAGAGGUGAAAUUCGUAGAUAUCGGGAGGAAUACCAGUGGCGAAGGCGGCGACCUGGGCCAAUACUGACGCUGAGGUGCGAAAGCGUGGGGAGCAAACAGG